RNAcentral lists this ribosomal RNA (546 nucleotides) under uncultured bacterium. RNAcentral describes it as "bacterial SSU rRNA". It matches the Rfam family "Bacterial small subunit ribosomal RNA", at positions 356 to 896 of the family's 1533-position model. The record is from RNAcentral.
GGGGAAUAUUGCACAAUGGGGGGAACCCUGAUGCAGCCAUGCCGCGUGAAUGAAGAAGGCCUUCGGGUUGUAAAGUUCUUUCGGUAGCGAGGAAGGCAUUUAGUUUAAUAGACUAGGUGAUUGACGUUAACUACAGAAGAGGCACCGGCUAACUCCGUGCCAGCAGCCGCGGUAAUACGGGGGGUGCGAGCGUUAAUCAGAAUAACUGGGCGUAAAGGGCACGCAGGCGGUGACUUAAGUGAGAUGUGAAAGCCCCGGGCUUAACCUGGGAAUUGCAUUUCAUACUGGGUCGCUAGAGUACUUUAGGGAGGGGUAGAAUUCCACGUGUAGCGGUGAAAUGCGUAGAGAUGUGGAGGAAUACCGAAGGCGAAGGCAGCCCCUUGGGAAUGUACUGACGCUCAUGUGCGAAAGCGUGGGGAGCAAACAGGAUUAGAUACCCUGGUAGUCCACGCUGUAAACGAUGUCGAUUUGGGGGUUGGGCUUUAAGCUUGGCGCCCGUAGCUAACGUGAUAAAUCGACCGCCUGGGGAGUACGGCCGCAAGGUUA